Molecule: ribosomal RNA, 329 nt
Filed under: uncultured bacterium
Lineage: Bacteria
Description: partial 16S ribosomal RNA
Rfam family: Bacterial small subunit ribosomal RNA
Source: RNAcentral
AAAAAAAAAAAAACGUGGAUAACCUACCUAUAAUACUGGGAUAACUUCGGGAAACCGGAGCUAAUACCGGAUAAUAUAUUGAACCGCAUGGUUCAAUAGUGAAAGACGGUUUUGCUGUCACUUAUAGAUGUAUCCGCUCCGCAGUAGCUAGUUGGUACGGUAACGGCUUACCAAGCCAACGAUGCGUAGCCGGACUGAGAGGAGGAUCAGUCACACUGGAACUGGGACACGGUCCAGAUGCUGACGGGAGGCAGAAGUAGGGAAGCUUCCGACAGGGGCGAAAGCAUGAAGGAGCAAGGACGCGUGGUGUAUGAAGGUUUUUGUUUUUU